CCGCCAGACUCCUACGGGAGGCAGCAGUGGGGGAUAUUGCACAAUGGGGGGAACCCUGAUGCAGCGACGCCGCGUGGGUGAAGGAGCGUUUCGGCGCGUAAAGCCCUAUCGGCAGGGAAGAAGGAGGACGGUACCUGACUAAGAAGCCCCGGCUAACUACGUGCCAGCAGCCGCGGUAAUACGUAGGGGGCAAGCGUUAUCCGGAUUUACUGGGUGUAAAGGGGGCGCAGACGGCAGCGCAAGCCAGGAGUGAAAGGCCGGGGCCCAACCCCGGGACUGCUCUUGGAACUGCGCGGCUGGAGUGCAGGAGGGGCAGGCGGAAUUCCUGGUGUAGCGGUGAAAUGCGUAGAUAUCAGGAGGAACACCGGCGGCGAAGGCGGCCUGCUGGACCGUAACUGACGUUGAGGCUCGAAAGCGUGGGGAGCAAACAGGAUUAGAUACCCGGGUAAU
This 450-nucleotide ribosomal RNA is filed under the name uncultured bacterium. RNAcentral's name for it is "partial 16S ribosomal RNA". It matches the Rfam family "Bacterial small subunit ribosomal RNA", at positions 328 to 794 of the family's 1533-position model. The record is from RNAcentral.